This 468-nucleotide ribosomal RNA is filed under the name uncultured bacterium. RNAcentral's name for it is "partial 16S ribosomal RNA". It matches the Rfam family "Bacterial small subunit ribosomal RNA", at positions 28 to 507 of the family's 1533-position model. The record is from RNAcentral.
GACGAACGCUGGCGGCGUGCUUAACACAUGCAAGUCGAACGGAAAGGCCCUGCUUUUGUGGGGUGCUCGAGUGGCGAACGGGUGAGUAACACGUGAGUAACCUGCCCUUGACUUUGGGAUAACUUCAGGAAACUGGGGCUAAUACCGGAUAGGAGCUCCUGCUGCAUGGUGGGUGUUGGAAAGUUUCGGCGGUUGGGGAUGGACUCGCGGCUUAUCAGCUUGUUGGUGGGGUAGUGGCUUACCAAGGCUUUGACGGGUAGCCGGCCUGAGAGGGUGACCGGCCCCAUUGGGACUGAGAUACGGCCCAGACUCCUACGGGAGGCAGCAGUGGGGAAUAUUGCACAAUGGGCGGAAGCCUGAUGCAGCAACGCCGCGUGCGGGAUGACGGCCUUCGGGUUGUAAACCGCUUUCGCCUGUGACGAAGCGUGAGUGACGGUAAUGGGUAAAGAAGCACCGGCUAACUACGUG